RNAcentral lists this non-coding RNA (28 nucleotides) under Mus musculus (house mouse). Lineage: Eukaryota; Metazoa; Chordata; Mammalia; Rodentia; Muridae. The record is from RNAcentral.
UGUAAACAGCUGGGUUUUCCUUUCCAAA